AACGAACGCUGGCGGCAUGCCUAACACAUGCAAGUCGAACGAUGCCUUCGGGCAUAGUGGCGCACGGGUGCGUAACGCGUGGGAAUCUGCCCUUGGCUUCGGAAUAACAGUUAGAAAUGACUGCUAAUACCGGAUGAUGUCCCCCUGAGAGAUCUUGGGGACCAAAGAUUUAUCGGCCAGGGAUGAGCCCGCGUAGGAUUAGGUAGUUGGUGGGGUAAAGGCCUACCAAGCCGACGAUCCUUAGCUGGUCUGAGAGGAUGAUCAGCCACACUGGGACUGAGACACGGCCCAGACUCCUACGGGAGGCAGCAUUGGGGAAUAUUGGACAAUGGGGGGAACCCUGAUCCAGCAAUGCCGCGUGAGUGAUGAAGGCCUUAGGGUUGUAAAGCUCUUUUACCAGGGAUGAUAAUGACAGUACCUGGAGAAUAAGCUCCGGCUAACUCCGUG
This 447-nucleotide ribosomal RNA is filed under the name uncultured bacterium. Its description in RNAcentral is "partial 16S ribosomal RNA". It matches the Rfam family "Bacterial small subunit ribosomal RNA", at positions 29 to 507 of the family's 1533-position model. The record is from RNAcentral.